AUGGUUGAAUCUCUAAGAGGAAAGUCCUCCAGGACUGCCCUUUGGACCAACCCAUCAGAAGGUAAUCGGCAAAGGUCAUGCAGCCAUCCAGGCUGGCUGUCCAGGCUGGGAGGGCUUGACUGGGCUGAGACUCUGACGCACCAGGUUCAAGGGAACCUCAGCAUGCAGGAUGCACUUUCCCGGAGAAGGUUUGCCGUUUGCUCUGUCACUGGGCCUGCUUUGGAGGGACAGGCAGAAAUGGACGUGCCUCUCCAUCCACAGCCAUUCGCAACACUCAGGCCAACUCCUGAGGCUGGCCCUUUUGACUCAGAGACAUAAUAUGUGAAAUUCUUUUCUAUCAAAAGCUUAUUAAAUAAAAUUUAGUUGGAAAAACUGGAAAGAAGAAGAGAGAAGUCAUUUAUCAUCUCAUUCUCCAAAGACAGCGACCGUUAAUGGCUGGGUAGACCCCCUCCACUUGCUUUCCUCGAAGCUUUUCCUCCCGACUUACAGUCAUAUUGCUUAAGCAGUUUUGACGUACGCAUUUUUGACUGAGCGUCAUCACGGCCCCUCUGCCAGGUUAUA
RNAcentral lists this long non-coding RNA (561 nucleotides) under Mustela putorius furo (domestic ferret). Its description in RNAcentral is "lncRNA (ENSMPUG00000030537.1)". Lineage: Eukaryota; Metazoa; Chordata; Mammalia; Carnivora; Mustelidae. The record is from RNAcentral.